AGACUGCCCAAGUGGAAGCCCAGAUGGACGUCCAGGGACGAGUCUCCUCUGCACCGCGUCCGGGGAGAUACGACGGAUGUCUCCAGCAACCGAGACUCCAAGGUGUCCGCUGGAUGGCACAGGCGCGAUAGAAUUCCUGAGAGACAUCGGCAGGUCGGCUGAGGCACGGAGCGGCUUCUCGUCCCGCUGCGCCUGUUUGAUAGACGAUGGCGGCGCGAGCACUUUGCUCUCCGUGUGGAAACACGUCACAGACUCCGGGGGCCGGUGGAGGCAAACAUGGGGCCCCCUGAUUAGGAACCAAUGACAGAACUACUGGCAGGGACAAAAAUGUUGGUGGUUUAUCGAAUGCACGUUUGUUUUCUACCUCUCAAAUGUGAGGAUGCGCCGCUUUUUCUCUGUCUGAUGUCGUCAAAUAUGCUAAAAAAGUUUCUUAUGGAGAUCUUGGAUGAUAAUGCUGUUCUUUUCCUGUUAACCAAAAGCGUCUUGGCUUCUCCUCCACAAAUGUUCAACCUGCAUCCAGGAACAAAGGUGCAGUGACUUUUCCUCUGCAGAAUCCAUUACAAAGCUCUUUAACUGGUGCUUCCAUGAACUAAGGAGCGUCGAUAAUAUUCUGUCUUUUCUCUCUUGUCCCCCAAAGUGUUUUAGAUGUUUUAAUAUCAUCCCAGAUUCCUGUAACGCACUGUAUUAAGAUAUAAAGCUCGGG
Gasterosteus aculeatus aculeatus (three-spined stickleback) is the source of this 703-nucleotide long non-coding RNA. NCBI's taxonomy places the organism in Eukaryota, Metazoa, Chordata, Actinopteri, Perciformes, Gasterosteidae. The record is from Ensembl.